CACUAGAAUACUAUGCAAGUCGAACGAUGCUGAGAAGCUUGCUCUGAAUGACCGUGACGCACGGCUGCGUAACGCGUAUGCAACCUACCUGUAAUCAGGGGGAUAGCCUCUCGAAAGAGAGAUUAACACCGCAUAAAAUCACAGGCUGGACAUCAGCAUCUGAUUCAAAUAUUUAUAGGAUCAAGAUGGGCAUGGGUGACAUUAGCUAGUUGGUAAGGUAACGGCUUACCAAGGCUACGAUGUCUAGCCGAUCUGAGAGGAUGACCCCCCACACUGUAGCUGAGACACGGACCAGACUCCUACGGGAGGCAGCAGAUAAGGAGUAUUGGUCAAUGGAGGCAACUCUGCACUCUAGAUGCCGCAUGCAGGAAGACGGCCCUACGGGUUGUACACUGCUUAGAUACGGGAAUAAACCUCUUUACGUGUAAAGAGUUGACACUACUGUAAGAAUAAGGAUCGGCUAACUCCGUGCCAGCAGCCGCGGUAAUACGGAUCAUCCAAGCGUUAUCCGGAUUAUAUUGGGUUGAAAGCAUGCGUAGGCGGCCCUAUUAAGUCAGCGGUGUGAAUGACGGUGGCUCAACCAUACGCAGUGCCCUUGAUACUGAUGGUACCGGAUUACACUUGAGCCUAGCGGAAUGUGACAAGUAGCGGUGAAAUGCAUAGAUAUGUCACAGAACACCAAUUGCGAAGGCAGCUUACUAAGGUGUUAAUGACGCUGACCUACGAAAGCGUGCAGAUCAAACAGGAUUAGAUACCCUGGUAGUCCACGCCCUAAACGAUGAAUACUCGAUGUUAGCGAUAUACAGUUAGCGUCAAAGCGAAAGCGUUAAGUAGAGCACCUGGGGAGUACGCGCGCAAGGGUGAAACUCAAAGGACUUGACGGCUGCCCGCACAAGCGGAAGAGCAUGUGGCUAGAAUUCGAUGAUACGCGAGGAACAUUACCCGGGCUUGAAAGUUACUGAAGUAUCCAGAGAUGGAUGCGUCCGCAAGGACACUAUACUAGGUUCUGCAUGGCUGUCCCCAGCUCGUGCGCGUGAGGUGUAUGGGUUAAGCCUCCCGCAACGAGCGCAACCCCUAUGUUUAGCUGUCAGCCAUGUUAUGGUGGCGACUCUAGACAGACUGCCUGUGCAAACAGAGACAUGCAGGGGACGACGUCAAGCUCAUCAUGGCCCUUACGUCCGGGGCUACACACGUGCUGACAAUGGAUGGUACAGACCGCCGCUACCUGGUAACAGGAUGCCAAUCUCAAUAAGCCAUUCACAGUUCGGAUAGAGGUCUGCGACUCGACCUCUUGAAGUUGCUUGCGCUAGUAAUCGCAUACCAGCAAUGAUGCGGUGAAUACGUUCGCCGCCCGCUUGUGUACACCGCCCGUCAAAACCAUGGAAGUUGGCCAUACCUGAAGUACGUAACCGCAAUGAGCGUCCUUAUGA
Molecule: ribosomal RNA, 1430 nt
Filed under: uncultured Pedobacter sp.
Lineage: Bacteria; Pseudomonadati; Bacteroidota; Sphingobacteriia; Sphingobacteriales; Sphingobacteriaceae
Description: bacterial SSU rRNA
Rfam family: Bacterial small subunit ribosomal RNA
Source: RNAcentral